This 258-nucleotide ribosomal RNA is filed under the name uncultured soil bacterium. RNAcentral's name for it is "partial 16S ribosomal RNA". It matches the Rfam family "Bacterial small subunit ribosomal RNA", at positions 26 to 285 of the family's 1533-position model. The record is from RNAcentral.
AGGACGAACGCUGGCGGCGUGCUUAACACAUGCAAGUCGAGCGGUAAGGCUCCUUCGGGAGUACACGAGCGGCGAACGGGUGAGUAACACGUGAGUAAUCUGCCCUUCACUUCGGGAUAACCACCGGAAACGGUGGCUAAUACCGGAUACGACCAGCCUUCGCAUGAGGUGCUGGUGGAAAGUCUUUUCGGUGAAGGAUGUGCUCGCGGCCUAUCAGCUUGUUGGUGAGGUAAUGGCUCACCAAGGCUUCGACGGGUA